RNAcentral lists this ribosomal RNA (254 nucleotides) under uncultured bacterium. Its description in RNAcentral is "partial 16S ribosomal RNA". It matches the Rfam family "Bacterial small subunit ribosomal RNA", at positions 524 to 776 of the family's 1533-position model. The record is from RNAcentral.
CACGUAGGGCGCAAGCGUUGUCCGGAUUCAUUGGGCGUAAAGAGCUCGUAGGCGGUUCGAUAAGUCGGGUGUGAAACCUCCAGGCUCAACCUGGAGACGCCACCCGAUACUGUCGUGACUAGAGUCCAGUAGGGGAGCGUGGAAUUCCUGGUGUAGCGGUGAAAUGCGCAGAUAUCAGGAGGAACACCAGCGGCGAAGGCGGCGCUCUGGGCUGGAACUGACGCUGAGGAGCGAAAGCGUGGGGAGCGAACAGG